GGAUGUCAGGACCUGGAGGAUCUCAUCAAAGUGAAUUGUAUAUCAAACCAGGAAGGCAUGGACUGUGACCUGGAUAGUUUCGUUGAAGUCAAAGGUAAAAGCAAUCAAGGGGCUUCCAAACAAAGCUGUGAAUCAGAAAGUAUUCCAAGGAAUCAGUCAGAUAUGAGCCAUUUAACCCAGGUCUCUGGAGACACUAG
Molecule: long non-coding RNA, 197 nt
Organism: Candoia aspera
Lineage: Eukaryota; Metazoa; Chordata; Lepidosauria; Squamata; Candoiidae
Exons: 3
Source: RefSeq, a predicted model, not a curated record